Molecule: long non-coding RNA, 2107 nt
Organism: Pezoporus occidentalis (night parrot)
Lineage: Eukaryota; Metazoa; Chordata; Aves; Psittaciformes; Psittacidae
Exons: 5
Source: RefSeq, a predicted model, not a curated record
CUUGUGCCUCCUGGUCUUGCCUGCAUGCCUCUGUCUUCUUGAGGCACUUCUGGGAUAGCUUCCCAGCAUGUUCCUUGUCUUCCUUCUGCUCUGCAGUGAUGAAGUGACUGGAGACCUUGAGAGUGUGAUAAAGUGACCAGAACAGGGGGGUUAUUUCUGCAUCUUCAAAACUAUGAUCCUGUGUUUUGACUCACUGUCAGAAAGGUGCUAUUUUAAGCUCCAUAUGAGAAAGUUGAUUUUUUAAGGCAGUUCUAGUGCCUUCCAUUUACUCCAAGAUCUAAUAAAUUUCACUCACGUUCCCAUGGAAUAUUGCUGGAACACUUGUGGAGAGAGCUAAAAUAAAGCAAAGCCAGCAGUAUCUGGUAGAACAAAGCUCACCAGAAUUUGCUAGCUGUGUCAGGAAGCAAGAUGGAUGAUGCUGAAACCAGCGUGCUUUGCCCUGGGUGCAUGAAGGCAGUUGGCUACCCAGUCUGCUGGGAACACUGGCUAAACACAGGUUCUUCCUCAAGAUGGAUAACCUUAUCUAGCAUGGAAAGUUUUUGUAGUUCUUCUCUGGUCAGUUAUCCAAACAGGACAAAAUUGAGCUGAUGUCAAAACAAAGAAUACACUGGGCUGUGAUAAAAGCUGCUCUUCUGCACAACUUCCUAGCUUGCAAAACCUGCCUGGUUUUGCAUAAUAAAUAAGCCCCAGGAAGUAUAAAGUUAGUGGGAGUGCUUGUAGUGUGGCCAAGUUACAGUUUUACAGUCGUUUAAAGGUCAGCAGCAAAUUGACAUCUACACCCAGUCCUGCAGGGUAAGGCUCUGUGGGGACAAACCUCUCAGGUGAAUGUCUGCAUGAUUUGCCUCUGGCCAUAUGGAAAAUGUGAGGCCAAAGAAGGGGCUGAGAUCCCACCGGGUCACUUGCAAGCCAGGGCCAGAGUUACCAAAUCAACCUUUCUCAGCAUUUAUUAGGGCAGGCUUUGAAACUUACAUGCUGAGGAAAGCUUUUUGACGCAAGAACUCCAGACCCAUGGCCUCACAGGGCAGAAAAACUGUCACCAGAGCUGGUUACAGCUCACGCCUGCAAAUGCAAAAAAGUUGUAUGGAGACAACAGCGCACAGGGAGACUUGCUAGGCCAUGGAUUAAGAUGCCAAGUUUCGGGGAAAAUGGUUUGCACAAGGAAAGCUCAGAACUCAAAAGCAGAGAUUGGGUGCUCUUCUAAGGACAACAGGUGGAGGGAUGAGAUCUGGGGAAAAAACCUAAACCCCCAAAACCUACUGUAGGAAAGGUUCCACCUCUGUGAAAAGAAGAAGGAAGGAGGGUAAUAAAAGUAUGAAGUGUAUCUAGUUUCAGGACUUUGCUGAAGAAAAAGAAGCACUCCUAAAAAUCACUACUACAGGUGAAAUCAUAGGGUUAGGGUUAAAGGAUGGAAAGAUCUGUACUGCAACCUGCAACUGUUGGAAAGCACGUGGGGUGAGAGGGUGUUAAUAAGCAGAUUAUAAGACAAGGUGGAGAUUUGGAAGUGUCCAGCUAGAGCUAUGGUUGCUGUUCAGGCAGGAAGUUCUUGAAAUGUCCUGAACUCCAUGGAGCAUGCGUAAAUCCAUGAGUCAGCGUGGUAUGUGCUACAACUACUCAGCCCUGAUCAGGAAACUCUGAACUAUUUUUCUCCAUCUCCUACAGACAGCUGGUGAUGAGGCAAACACGGGUAGGAGUUCUCUCUGAUGAAACUUUUAAGCUCUUGGUGUACAGGCACUUGGUAUGCAAUACCUGUCCCUCAAACAGCUGGGUGCAAAUGUGGGGAAGGCUUUUCCUGCAGGUUUUCAGGUACCAAGCUCAGCUGAUGUUCCUGUACUGCAGCUGUAAAUGAAGCCUCUUCUGGCACUCCCAGGGAGUUUGCUGGGCAUGUCCUGCCCCUGGCACCACUCCGACAUUCACAGCACCGAUCUCCAACAUUAUCACCUCUCCAAGUGCUUAAGGCAUGGCAGCUCACAGGAUGUUCAGAGGCCUCUUUGAGGCAUUCAUUUAGCUACAUGUGCCACUUAAAGUUGUAUGCCACCAACCAGGAAUCCUCUCUCCCUGCCAUGGUCUUCUCCCCAUAGACAGGCCUUGCUGGUGGUUUGCUCCUCCU